Molecule: ribosomal RNA, 965 nt
Filed under: human gut metagenome
Description: bacterial LSU rRNA
Rfam family: Bacterial large subunit ribosomal RNA
Source: RNAcentral
UAGCGAAAUUCCUUGUCGGGUAAGUUCCGACCCGCACGAAAGGCGUAAUGAUUUGAGCACUGUCUCGACAAUGCAUCCGGUGAAAUUGAAGUACCAGUGAAGAUGCUGGUUACCUGCGCCAGGACGGAAAGACCCCAUGGAGCUUUACUCUAGUUUGGUACUGGGGUCCGGUAUUGCAUGUACAGGAUAGGUGGGAGACUGAGAAGUGUGAACGCCAGUUUGCACGGAGUCAUUGUUGGGAUACCACCCCUGCAGUAUUGGGCUUCUAACAGGUAGCCGUAAACCGGCUAAUGGACAAUGCCAGGCGGGGAGUUUGACUGGGGCGGUCGCCUCCGAAAGGGUAUCGGAGGCGCUCAAAGGUUCCCUCAGAAUGGUUGGAAACCAUUCGAAGAGUGCAAAGGCAGAAGGGAGCUUGACUGCGACACCGACGGGUGGAGCAGGUACGAAAGUAGGACUUAGUGAUCCGGUGGCAUAAAGUGGGAUUGCCAUCGCUCAACGGAUAAAAGCUACCCUGGGGAUAACAGGCUUAUCACUCCCAAGAGUUCACAUCGACGGAGUGGUUUGGCACCUCGAUGUCGGCUCAUCGCAUCCUGGGGCUGUAGCAGGUCCCAAGGGUUGGGCUGUUCGCCCAUUAAAGCGGUACGCGAGCUGGGUUCAGAACGUCGUGAGACAGUUCGGUCCCUAUCCGGCGUGGGCGGAGGAUAUUUGAGAGGAGCUGUCCUUAGUACGAGAGGACCGGGAUGGACGGACCACUGGUGUAUCUGUUGGCUAUCAGAGCCAUGGCAGAGUAGCCAAGUCCGGAAGGGAUAAACGCUGAAGGCAUCUAAGCGUGAAGCCCCCCUCAAGAUGAGAUAUCCCUGCGUAUGCAGUAAGACCCCUUGAAGACUACGAGGUAGAUAGGUCAGAGGUGGAAGUGCAGUAAUGCAUGUAGCUGACUGAUACUAAUAGGUCGAGGGCUUGACCAA